RNAcentral lists this ribosomal RNA (797 nucleotides) under uncultured bacterium. Its description in RNAcentral is "bacterial SSU rRNA". It matches the Rfam family "Bacterial small subunit ribosomal RNA", at positions 8 to 796 of the family's 1533-position model. The record is from RNAcentral.
AGAGUUUGAUCCUGGCUCAGGAUGAACGCUAGCGGCAGGCUUAAUACAUGCAAGUCGAGGGGCAGCAGGUCUGUAGCAAUACAGAUGCUGGCGACCGGCAAACGGGUGCGGAACACGUACGCAACUUUCCUUCAACUGAGGAAUAGCCCAGGGAAACUUGGAUUAAUACCUCGUAAUAUUAUGAAGUGGCAUCACUUUAUAAUUAUAGCUCCGGCGGUUGAAGAUGGGCGUGCGCCUGAUUAGGUAGUUGGCGGGGUAACGGCCCACCAAGCCUACGAUCAGUAACUGGUGUGAGAGCACGACCAGUCACACGGGCACUGAGACACGGGCCCGACUCCUACGGGAGGCAGCAGUAAGGAAUAUUGGGCAAUGGACGCAAGUCUGACCCAGCCAUGCCGCGUGGAGGAUGAAGGUCCUCUGGAUUGUAAACUUCUUUUAUCUGGGAAGAAAUCCAUAUUUUCUAAUGUGGUUGACGGUACCAGAUGAAUAAGCACCGGCUAACUCCGUGCCAGCAGCCGCGGUAAUACGGAGGGUGCAAGCGUUAUCCGGAUUCACUGGGUUUAAAGGGUGCGUAGGUGGGCAGGUAAGUCAGUGGUGAAAUCUCCGGGCUUAACUCGGAAACUGCCGUUGAUACUAUCUGUCUUGAAUAUCGUGGAGGUUAGCGGAAUAUGUCAUGUAGCGGUGAAAUGCUUAGAUAUGACAUAGAACACCGAUUGCGAAGGCAGCUAACUACACGAUCAUUGACACUGAGGCACGAAAGCGUGGGGAGCAAACAGGAUUAGAUACCCUAGUAGUCC